Molecule: unclassified non-coding RNA, 245 nt
Filed under: Hevea brasiliensis (rubber tree)
Lineage: Eukaryota; Viridiplantae; Streptophyta; Magnoliopsida; Malpighiales; Euphorbiaceae
Source: RNAcentral
AUGUGCCCUUCAUGUGAGCGUGUCGCGGGCCCACCGCCAUCCUCAUCUGGGCCCACAUCCACACCAAUGGGCCAGGCCCAACCCAGGCCCAUGCCAUUUAACCUAUGGGCCAAUGCACUACAUCCGAGAUCAUGAUUUUGCAAGAAGGGCGAUUUGGUCAAAUGAAAGUGACAAGACAAACUUGUAAUAGUGUACCAUAAUGUUUUUUGUGUAUGAAAAAUAUGAAUAUUUAUGGUCUAAGAUAU